AGAAAUCUGAGAUGUGCGCGGUAUUUACUAAGUGUUGACCGAACAAUUAAUGACUUUUUAGGGAUUCAGAUUGUUGUUAUGGAUAACAAGCCAUUGCACUUGGAAGUUAAGAAGUAACUCAUAGAAGCCCACCUGCUUAGAAUGCGGGUUCAAAACUAUCAAAUACAUCAAACGGCAUCACCGGAAAUCUA
This 191-nucleotide non-coding RNA is filed under the name Granulicatella elegans. Its description in RNAcentral is "6S RNA". It matches the Rfam family "6S / SsrS RNA". From Rfam's summary of the family: E. coli 6S RNA was the first non coding RNA to be sequenced, but its function was unknown until recently. It consists of 184 nucleotides that fold into an extended hairpin structure with a large single-stranded internal bulge. Lineage: Bacteria; Bacillati; Bacillota; Bacilli; Lactobacillales; Carnobacteriaceae. RNAcentral also lists the same sequence under 2 other names. The record is from RNAcentral.